This is a non-coding RNA of Equus caballus (horse), 3913 nucleotides long. NCBI's taxonomy places the organism in Eukaryota, Metazoa, Chordata, Mammalia, Perissodactyla, Equidae. The record is from RefSeq and is a predicted model, not a curated record.
GUAGAGGGAGAUGGGCACUGAUGUUAGCUCAGGGCCAGUCUUCCUCGGCAAAAAGAGGAGGAUUGGCAGCAGAUUUAGCUCAGGGCUAAUAUUCCUCAAAAAAAAAAAAAAAUCACAGUGGUAGUUUACAGAAGUAGAUAAAACAAUCCUUAAAUUCACGUGGAGUCACCAAGGACCCGGAACAGCCAAAGCAAUCUUGAAGGAAGAACACAGCUGGAGGCAUCAGCUGCCUGGUUCAAACUAUCCUAAAGCUACAGUAAUGAAGACAGUGUGGCGCUGGCAUAGAGACAGACACACAGGCCAACGGAACAGAAUCGAGAGCCCAGAAGGACACCAUACGUAUGCGGUCAACUGAUCUUCAACAUGGGAGCCGAGAUUAGUCAACAGGGAAAGGCCGGUCUCUUAACAAUGGUGCUGGAAAACUGGACAUGUGCAUGCAGGAGAAUGAAAACGGACUCUUCUCUCACACCAUCCACCCCACAAACCAGCACAGACUCACCAAGGACUUAAACGUGACACAGGAACCUGUGAGAUCCCUGGAAGAAGACUCAGGGAUGGCCUCACCUUUCUUAUCCAUGCCCGAGUUCCUCCUCUCUUCCAUCUUCUUUCACAUGGAGUAGCAUUGUCUCAUGUUUCCCAGCGUCCUGGUCUGAAAGUGGGAUGUCCACUCGCAUUAGUGUGUGGUCGCCCUGAAGUGCACCUGCAUCCUCGAUAUGAUGCUGAGGUUGGACAUCAGGAUUGUAACACAGUUGCUUACACGUGGCUUUUGCCCUAUUUUGGACAGUCUCCUCAGCGGCGUCCUGGACAUCAGAUUGCUGGGUCAAAGUUGACGUUUUAUGGUUUUUGAGAUGUUUCUGUUGAGCAUUUUUCAAAUGACACCUUGCACCUCCCACGAGCGUGGCUGUAACACAGGCCCCUCCUCUUCUCUGCUCAGUGCCACCCCUUGGGAGGUCCCAGCCCUUCUCUUUGAGGUCAUUUGUCCCCUCAGGCUGUCCUGCUGUGUAGAACUGGGGGAUGCCUCCUGUGGAACUUGAGGACCGGAGGUCAGCCCAGGAAGGCAGCUUCUCAGCAGAACCUAGGCCGUGGCUGGAGCCUGGAGGCUACAGGGCCGGGGCGCCUCCUGCCUGAGGCUGGGGAAGCCCCCUGCCCUACAGCCUCCACCUUCAUUUCUGGACUGAAGGUCAGAUGCCCAACCCUGGGGCCCAGGAGGAGCCCCUCCAUCAGCUGACGAGGGUCCCAGGGAGAGGCCGGUCCAGUGACUGUUCCCUAUUGUCAGGCAGAAGCAAAGUCACAAGACGACACGUCAUGAGCCAUGAGGUGGGGAUCGGUGGACAGGCCGGCUCCAACUGCCCACUAGGGUCCCGAGUAUGCACAGUGGGUCACAGGAGCUGUCUCUGUGCCCCUCUGCCCAGCCUCAUCGCAGCUCAGUGGCAGGCUGCGGCUUUGUGCCACCUGCAGGUUGCACGACACUGUGCAGCCUUCUCACUGGGAGUCCAGAUGGGCAGGGGAGACUGGCCGGGACAGGCGAGCGCAGAUCUCAUGUCAGGGCUACUGUCCCGGGGCCUUGGUGGCUGGCUCGACUCAGAGGGUACAUGGGAUUGUCCUGGACACCACCUCGCCCUCCCCCGAUGGGAUGGGCUCCCCAGCGUCUCCAGCACUGGAGGGGCUCACAGAUCCUCGGGGUCCGAGCCGGUGGCCUAGGUGGGUGAGGCGUCUUGGGCAGGCAGCCUGUGCCUGAGACCUCAGGGUCUUCAUCACCAAAGUGCUGGCACCAGAAUGCUUGGGAGUCAGAUGUUUCCAACUUGGUUUUAUUCAGGGGCUUCUGCUGUGUGUCCAGGAGCCGUCCAGGGUGUGAACUAGAAGAGACGCCACCGCCCAUGGUAACUUCAGGAAACAGUGGACAUCGGCACAAUAAAAGGGCACUGCAUGGUGUCAAGUGCUCAAGAGAAAACCGGAGCAGGGGACGUGGGGGGGUUUCAGUUUUAGGGGGCGGCCAGGAGGGCCUGGCCGAGACCACAGGUGGGCGGGGAUCCCCCUCCUCCCAUGGGAGGGACAGAGUGGGGCUUCCCCACCAUUGGAGGGUCUCGUCGGGAUGGGGAAGCUGAUGUCCCUCCUGAGGAGGAGAGAGACAUGAUGGACACCUGGCUGGGGGGUUCUCUGGGCCAUGGUGGCCACUGUGCCAGGGCCAGGCUGAAGGUUAAAGGGCGAGAGCAGGACGCAGGAGGGUGGCAGCCAAGGGGUAUCCAGUGCUGGGGUGAUGCUAAGCCCGAGCAGGGCCACCCCUCAACCCUGAGGGGCCAUGUGCCUGGGCUUAGAUUGGUAAGGACCUGGGCCUGUCGAUGUCCAGUCAGUCCCUGUGGAUCAGGGCCACGUAGAGGGAAGGCCAUGGGCUUGCAGGACUGGCUGCAACCACGAGGUCAUCCUGCUGCUCCUCAGUUCCAUUUCCAGUGGCCGCACGACUGUAGAGGGAGAUGGCAGAUCUGGAGGGCCCCGCCUGACACCCUGAGGGGCAGAGGCUCAAGACUGAGUGAUGUACAGAGACUCCUCACCCACCACUCCCUGCCAGGUGAGAGUCCGUGUGCCAGCCAGCCACCCCCUUCCCUGUCCCAGGCAGGAAUCGCUUGAGUCCAGCACCAUCGGCGUCCAGUACCAGGAGGGAGUGAGAGGACAGCUGUCCCUUCGCUGGACAGGAGACCCCCGAGAAGAUGUGCUUCUCUUUAUGUCGAAGUACAGAUGAGCCCAGGAAAACGUCACUCAGGGAUCUGGGGACCUAGGUGAGCUGACUCUAAGUUCACAUGGAGAAAUCACUGAGCAAAAAAAUCCAGGAAAACUCGAGGAACUGUCACCAGAGGGACGAGCCUGACAGCCAUGAAAACACAGAUGACAGUGUGAUGCUGCCAUGACCCAGAACAGCCUUUCCAAAGGGACAUGUGUCCCGGGAGCCACUUACGACAAGUGACACAUGCACCCCACAGAGUCAGGUGUCUCCAUGGGAAAUGUGCAAUUGGAGUCAGAGAAGAGCACGGAACAGGGAAAUGUCUGCCCUUCCGAUUUCCUGAGUGGAGGGUGCUUCCGCAAACCCGCUCUUUAAAAGACCAAACGGCAAAGGGACAUGAGGUGGAAGCUGACACCUGAGGGAGGACAGUGGCUCCUGAUGACGAGGCAUCCUAUCACCUCGCUGCUGAGAGACAUGCGGAUGAAGCUGGGAAGCCCUUCAGGCUGCACCUGUCACCCCAUGGCCUGGUGGAAUGGCAGCACCCCGAAAUUCCGCCCACUGCCCGGCACCCUGACUGCUCUUGUCCAUAGCAGUUGGAGGCACUUGUCUCCUUUGUGAGCGGCUCUGCCGUCUCACACUGCCCACCUCGAUGUGAGUGCAGGAGGCACAACUCACACCGCAACUGGUCAGUCAGACAUGAAGGAAGACCCAGAGACCCUGCUGGCCCUGGAAAGAGCAAAAAUAAUUGCCCAGUAUGAUCAGGGACGCCAGGCAGGGGUUCCAGUGGAUCCUCAGGAAGACCCCGAGCUGCCCCUUUCCAAGGUCACCGACCGCCUCGGUUUCCUGCAGUGAGUCACCUGGACGCCCGCUCUUUUCAUCUCAGGGAUGGUUUCUGUUGGUGGAAACACCUCUCUGGAGGCAGGACCCGUCUCCCCAGCUCAGAGCCUCGUCCCCUGGUGCCCACUGCAGUCCAGGGUCUACAGUCGGCUCCAGCUGAGAGACCAGAAGUGGCCUCAGGAUGGUGGGCAGGGGUGGAGCAGGGCCCUGGCCGGGCUGGGACACUCAGCAGUGUGGCCUCCACGCCUGCAUGAGGGAGGGCGUGAUGGUGUCCACCUCCCACAGUCAGAGGGCACGUCCAGCCUGGCCAGCAGUGGCUCCACAGGCUGUGACCACAGAGUGAGGGGCGCCUGGCCCAGC